AACGGCUGGGCCCAUUUGGCUCAAAUUUCAGUAGUUCGUAUUUGCCAGAAAAUAUUGGGAAAAAAUACCCGCGAUCGCGAACAAAAUUAAUUUUUUUCUCUUAUGGAAAAAGAUCUUAGCCGUACAAUAGUAAAGAGGCAAAUAUUAUACUCGGAGAUCAGUUCCAAACUCGAGAUAUUCAGGCAGGCUCCGGUUUCCACUUUACAAAAAUGUUCCGAUUUACUUUCACAUAAAUUGGUGCUCCCGUUUUCACAAUCUAAAAGAUUUCUCUGAGAUGAGAUAUAAUUGGCUUUUUACACAACAAAAUUAAUCUUAAUUGCAUAAAGAAAAAAAUAGAUGACCGCGCAUUUUCUGCCGUCGUUUGGCUUUAAAACAAAUAUUUUAAAAGUAAAGACUUAUACCGCUGUAUUUACGAAGCUGAUUUUUAAACGGUUGGCCGAAAACGUAAAACAAAACCCGGAGCCUCCCUGAAACAAUCAAUUGAGAGAGUUUAUCUGAGGGCGUUAAAUUGAGCCCCAAGUCCCUCUUAUAAAUGGAUUUUGUUGUCUUGUAGGUUAUACAAUAACAAAGACAAUCACGAUAGUGUAACUAACUUAGUAACUUUCAGAAAAAACAAGGCAAGACAUCGCUGUUUUUAAUUCGGAUCCAUUGCAGAAAGCUAAUCAGUGGGACGGUCAGGCUGAUGUCCAGGACUGAUCGUGUUUUCAAUCAAGUUUACUGGAGCCCACUCUUAAGUUUUCUGACAUCCGUAUCAGCUCCAAGCUGGGGAAUACCCACCCAUCCAAGUUACAACAACCAUGCCAACAGGCUUACAGCUUGGGAGAUCGACCGAUCUUGGGAUGAUGCUAUUGGGCCCAAGCGACCGUCCUUAACUCAGUAGCUCAGUAUUGAUGGUCCUCGCACACAGUAAAAAUAUGUACAUAUGUAAUACAUGUAAGUCGGACAGUCACACAGAUCGGACAUUGACCUACACCAUACAGCUGCCGUACCUAUUACAAAGACCCAUCGAAGAAGUUCGUCACUUUUUCUGGAAUACCUCGGCUUCAUAAAAAUACCUAUGUAUUUAUCUGUAGUUUUUCGUAGUCGGAAAUAUCCAAGUACAUUUGUACGGUAGAAAAAGUUAAGAGAAAUUUAAAAAAGAAUGUAAAGCGCAAAAACAACGAAUUCACGAGCUUCGUUUAUUAAACUACUGAUUUGUUAACAAA
Long non-coding RNA from Drosophila pseudoobscura, 1205 nucleotides. RefSeq lists it as uncharacterized. The transcript has 2 exons. The record is from RefSeq and is a predicted model, not a curated record. Lineage: Eukaryota; Metazoa; Arthropoda; Insecta; Diptera; Drosophilidae.